UCAUCUUUUUUGUCAGCUUCCUUUAGUUGAAUCUCAUAUUUUUGAAAUUACUAAAAUUUUUCUUUCACCAGUUUAUCUAGAUCUACUUUUUUGUCUUGAAAGUCUCACUGAAGAUUUCUUUCCAGCAAAAUGAAUAUAGCCAUUAAUAACUCCACAAUUGAUAUUUGUGGCUAGUUGAUAUUUUCCAACAUGACUUCAAGAAGGAGAAAGACAUUUCUCUCAUAUAUUAUCAUAUUUGACAGGUUGGUUGCUAUGGUAAAUGCUUCCCAGAUAUGAUACCAUUGAGUGUUUGUUUUGUUUUGUUUUUUGUUUUUUGUUUUGCAGGAUCUACGCUGCUUGGCCAGAGAACUCAGUGGAAAUUCUAUUCAAAGACUCACUGGUUCGAUGCCUGGGUUUAACAAUCAGAUCUUAGGAGAUUAAUGCUUUUAAGAGGUUCAUAAACUGAGAGAGAUCUUAAGAAAUUGGAUGAAGAGGACAUGACUGCAUCAGAAAAAGAAAAGUAGUGUAAAAGAGAAAAAAAAAGAAAGAAAAUUGAAUAGAUGGACCUGCUAACAGAAUAAGGCCCCAGGCCUCUCUUCCACGUUUUGACUCAGAUGUGGUUGUUUCUGAAGGACUGCGGCUUUGACCUCUUCCGCCCCUCUGCGGGAGGGUCUCACCGAACAAUGGCUGAAUGAGCAAUGGCUGAAUGUCGGCUGCACCCAGGAACACUUGAUGGACCCUGCUGCUGCCGGUGCCCUGAGACUGCGGCCAGGUGCCAGCGCGCCAAGUAAAAGUUCCUGAGACAGUGUAGCAGCAGUUUAUCAGGGAUUAUGGAAAAUCACAACACACAUCUGGCACCAGGCUUCACCCUUAAUGACUUUGUUCCAGCACCAGCAAAUGUGGCCGCCUUCUGGGGUCUGCUGGGACCAGGUGGCCUCAACAGUCUCUACCAAAUGUCCUUCCAGAAGUGGAACCGCUUUUCCCCGGGUGGCCUGAGAACCUCCUGGACCCCACUCUGUUCCUGGGGAUUUGCCCUUCCCACCAGAGCACCGCCAGGUAUCGAGCUGUGCAGUUGCAGACUGCGCUCCCCUUGUUUACAGUCUUAACGGAAUUUAAACCCUCUCAUUUCUCCCUUUUUAGUUUAGGCCCUGUGGCUGUUUCUAAUUUUCUACUUUCUCUCCAGCUGCUUUUGGGGAGGGGUGAUUUUCCCAUAUUCUCCCUCCCACCUCCAGUCUCCGUCCUCUCUCCGCUGACAAAAACACCUCCCUUCCUGCGCCUUCUCGCUCCCCAAGUUCACUUCUCCGUGUCGCGUACCUGCUGAAUUCUGUGGUUCAGGUUGUGCAGAUUGUUUUGUUAAUCGUCCGGUCAGUUUUCUAGGUGUGUAGGAUGGUUUAGUGUCGGUCUGGCUGUAUCUCAUGGACGCGAGACACACAAAAAACUUCCUUGCUGUUCUGCCAUCUUGGCUCCUCCUUUAUUUUUAUUUUUUAAUUUAUUUCGAGAGGGGGUUGGUACAGAGAAAGCAAGGGAGACAGGAAAUUUCAAGGAAGUUCUGCACUGUCAGCUGAAAUCAAGAGUUGACACUUAACUGACUGAGCCACCCAGGUACCCCAAUGGAAGGCGAAUUUAAAGUGCAGGAGAGAGGGGCGCCUGGGUGGCUUAGUCGGUUUAACAUCUGACUUGGGCUCAGGUCAUGAUCUCACAGUUUGUGAAUUCAGAUCCUCUGUCUCCUUCUCCCUCUGUACCUCCCCAGCUUGCACAUGGGCUCUCUUUCAAAAUUAAAUAAACAUUAAA
Acinonyx jubatus (cheetah) is the source of this 1770-nucleotide long non-coding RNA. RefSeq lists it as uncharacterized. The record is from RefSeq and is a predicted model, not a curated record. NCBI's taxonomy places the organism in Eukaryota, Metazoa, Chordata, Mammalia, Carnivora, Felidae. The transcript has 4 exons.